Molecule: ribosomal RNA, 570 nt
Filed under: Schwanniomyces polymorphus
Lineage: Eukaryota; Fungi; Ascomycota; Pichiomycetes; Serinales; Debaryomycetaceae
Description: eukaryotic LSU rRNA
Rfam family: Eukaryotic large subunit ribosomal RNA
Source: RNAcentral
AAACCAACAGGGAUUGCCUCAGUAACGGCGAGUGAAGCGGCAAAAGCUCAAAUUUGAAAUCUGGCACCUUCGGUGUCCGAGUUGUAAUUUGAAGAAGGUAACUUUGGAGUUGGCUCUUGUCUAUGUUCCUUGGAACAGGACGUCACAGAGGGUGAGAAUCCCGUGCGAUGAGAUGCCCAACUCUAUGUAAAGUGCUUUCGAAGAGUCGAGUUGUUUGGGAAUGCAGCUCUAAGUGGGUGGUAAAUUCCAUCUAAAGCUAAAUAUUGGCGAGAGACCGAUAGCGAACAAGUACAGUGAUGGAAAGAUGAAAAGAACUUUGAAAAGAGAGUGAAAAAGUACGUGAAAUUGUUGAAAGGGAAGGGCUUGAGAUCAGACUUGGUAUUUUGCAAGCCUUACCUUCGUGGUGGGGUCCCCUGCAGUUUACUGGGCCAGCAUCGGUUUGGAUGGUAGGAUAAUGACUUGGGAAUGUGACUUUGCUUCGGUAAAGUGUUAUAGCCCUUGUUGAUACUGCCUGUCUAGACCGAGGACUGCGUCUUUGACUAGGAUGCUGGCAUAAUGAUCUUAAGUCGC